Molecule: RNA transcript, 6456 nt
Organism: Oncorhynchus keta (chum salmon)
Lineage: Eukaryota; Metazoa; Chordata; Actinopteri; Salmoniformes; Salmonidae
Gene name: myosin heavy chain, fast skeletal muscle-like
Exons: 40
Source: RefSeq, a predicted model, not a curated record
CAGAGUGGUCCAUAAUUAACUUUUGCUUGGUUGGCACUUCCAACCAGAUAUAAGGAGGCUGAGGCCCCAGCAUCCAUGAGUCAGAUACCUUCUUCCUCUGUGGGUCCUCCAAGAAGUACACAUUCAUCUGUAGGAGGGGAAAAAGAAGUUAUCCGUCACCAUGAGUACGGACGCUGAGAUGCAAGCCUACGGCAAGGCUGCCAUAUACCUCCGUAAAUCUGAGAAGGAGCGGAUGGAGGCACAAGCCACACCCUUUGAUUCAAAGAACGCCUGCUAUGUGACAGACAAGGUGGAGCUGUACCUUAAGGGUUUAGUCACUGCCAGGGCCGACGGGAAGUGUACUGUAACAGUCACGAAACCUGACGGCACUAAGGAGGAAGGAAAAGAGUUCAAAGAGGCAGACAUCUAUGAGAUGAACCCCCCUAAGUACGACAAGAUUGAGGACAUGGCCAUGAUGACCUACCUGAAUGAAGCCUCUGUGUUGUAUAACCUCAAAGAGCGUUAUGCAGCAUGGAUGAUCUAUACCUACUCUGGGCUCUUCUGUGCCACGGUGAACCCCUACAAGUGGCUCCCUGUGUAUGAUGAAGAGGUUGUCAACGCCUACAGAGGGAAGAAGAGGGUGGAGGCUCCACCCCAUAUCUUCUCCGUGUCUGACAACGCCUUUCAGUUCAUGAUGAUUGAUAAGGAGAACCAGUCCGUCCUGAUUACUGGAGAAUCCGGUGCAGGAAAGACUGUCAACACCAAGCGUGUCAUCCAGUACUUUGCCACCAUUGCAGUGUCUGGUGGCAAGAAGGAAGCAGACCCCAACAAAAUGCAGGGGUCUCUUGAGGAUCAGAUCAUUGCAGCUAACCCUCUGCUGGAGUCUUACGGUAAUGCCAAGACAGUGAGGAACGACAACUCGUCUCGCUUUGGUAAAUUCAUCAGGAUUCACUUCCAGGCUGGUAAACUGGCUAAAGCUGAUAUUGAGACCUACCUGCUGGAGAAGUCCAGAGUGUCCUUCCAGCUGCCCGAUGAGAGAGGCUACCACAUCUUCUUCCAGAUGAUGACAGGCCACAAACCUGAGCUAGUUGAAUUGGCGCUUCUCACCACCAACCCCUACGACUUCCCCAUGUGCAGUCAGGGACAGAUCGCUGUGGCCAGCAUCAAUGACAAUGAAGAGCUGGAUGCCACAGAUGAAGCCAUUACAAUCCUGGGCUUCACUAAUGAGGAGAAGCUUGGAAUCUACAAGCUGACAGGAGCUGUAGUGCACCAUGGCAACUUGAAAUUCAAGCAGAAGCAGCGUGAGGAGCAGGCCGAGCCAGACGGCACAGAGGUGGCUGAUAAAAUCGCCUACCUGCUGGGCCUGAACUCAGCUGAGAUGUUGAAGGCUCUGUGCUACCCCAGAGUGAAGGUCGGCAACGAGUAUGUGACCAAGGGACAGACUGUGGCUCAGGUUAAUAACUCAGUCAGUGCUCUGGCCAAGUCCAUCUAUGAGAGGAUGUUCUUGUGGAUGGUCAUCCGGAUCAAUGAGAUGUUGGACACCAAGAAUCCAAGGCAGUUCUAUAUCGGUGUGCUUGACAUUGCCGGGUUUGAGAUCUUUGAUUACAACAGCAUGGAGCAGCUGUGCAUCAACUUCACCAAUGAGAAACUGCAACAGUUUUUCAACCACACCAUGUUCGUCCUGGAGCAAGAGGAGUACAAGAAGGAGGGAAUCGUCUGGGCCUUCAUUGACUUCGGCAUGGACUUGGCUGCCUGCAUUGAGCUUAUUGAGAAGCCAUUGGGCAUCUUCUCCAUCCUUGAAGAGGAGUGCAUGUUCCCCAAGUCUUCAGACACUACCUUCAAGGACAAGCUGUACGCCCAGCAUCUUGGCAAAACAAAGGCGUUUGAGAAGCCCAAGCCUGCCAAAGGCAAGGCAGAGGCCCACUUCUCCCUGGUUCACUACGCCGGCACUGUGGACUACAACAUCACUGGAUGGCUGGAGAAGAACAAGGACCCCCUGAAUGACUCAGUUUGUCAGCUGUACGGGAAGUCAGGAGUCAAAAUUUUGGCUGCCCUGUAUCCACCUCCCCCUCCUGAGGAUAAAGCCAAGAAAGGAGGCAAGAAGAAGGGUGGUUCCAUGCAGACUGUGUCCUCCCAGUUCAGGGAGAACUUACAUAAGCUGAUGACCAACUUGAGGAGCACUCAUCCUCACUUUGUGCGCUGCCUGAUCCCCAACGAGUCAAAGACUCCAGGUCUGAUGGAGAACUUCCUGGUUAUCCACCAGCUCAGGUGUAAUGGUGUACUGGAGGGUAUCAGGAUCUGCAGAAAGGGAUUCCCCAGCAGAAUCAUCUAUGCUGACUUCAAGCAGAGGUACAAAGUACUGAAUGCCAGUGUCAUCCCUGAGGGCCAGUUCAUGGACAACAAGAAGGCUUCUGAGAAGCUGCUUGGGUCCAUUGAUGUGAAUCACGAGGAUUACAAGUUUGGACACACCAAGGUGUUCUUCAAAGCCGGUCUGCUGGGUGUCCUGGAGGAGAUGAGAGAUGAGAAACUGGCCGCUCUGGUCGGCAUGGUCCAGGCUCUCAGCCGUGGAUUCCUCAUGAGGAGAGAGUUCACCAAGAUGAUGGAGAGGAGAGAGUCUGUCUUCGCCAUCCAGUACAACAUCCGCUCAUUCAUGAAUGUCAAAACCUGGCCAUGGAUGAAGUUGUACUUCAAGAUCAAGCCCCUGCUGCAGAGCGCUGAGACUGAGAAGGAGCUGGCCAACAUGAAGGAGAACUAUGAGAAGAUGAAGACAGACCUGGCAAAGGCUCUGUCCACAAAGAAGCAAAUGGAGGAGAAGUUGGUGGCCCUGACGCAGGAGAAGAACGACCUGGCACUCCAAGUCGCAUCUGAAGGAGAGAGUCUGAACGAUGCUGAGGAAAGGUGUGAGGGGCUCAUCAAGAGCAAGAUCCAGCAGGAGGCCAAACUCAAAGAGACGACCGAGAGGCUGGAGGAUGAGGAGGAGAUCAAUGCUGAGUUGACUGCCAAGAAGAGGAAGCUGGAGGAUGAGUGCUCUGAGCUGAAGAAGGACAUUGAUGACCUGGAGCUCACCCUGGCCAAAGUGGAGAAGGAGAAGCACGCCACUGAAAACAAGGUUAAAAACCUGACAGAGGAGAUGGCGUCUAUGGAUGAGAGUGUUGCCAAGCUGACCAAGGAGAAGAAAGCCCUCCAAGAGGCCCACCAGCAGACACUGGAUGACCUGCAGGCAGAGGAGGACAAAGUCAACACUCUGACCAAGGCCAAGACCAAGCUGGAACAGCAAGUGGACGACCUUGAGGGUUCUCUGGAGCAAGAGAAGAAGCUCCGUAUGGACCUUGAGAGAUCCAAGAGAAAGCUGGAGGGAGAUCUGAAACUGGCCCAGGAGUCCAUAAUGGACCUGGAGAAUGACAAGCAGCAAGCUGAUGAGAAAAUCAAGAAGAAGGAGUUUGAGACCACCCAGCUCCUCAGCAAGGUUGAGGAUGAACAGUCUCUGGGAGCUCAGCUGCAGAAGAAGAUCAAGGAACUCCAGGCCCGUAUUGAGGAGCUGGAGGAGGAAAUUGAGGCUGAGCGUGCUGCCAGGGCUAAGGUUGAGAAGCAGAGGGCCGAUCUCUCCAGGGAACUUGAGGAGAUCAGCGAGAGGCUGGAGGAGGCCGGAGGCGCCACUGCUGCUCAGAUUGAGAUGAACAAGAAGCGUGAGGCUGAGUUCCAGAAGCUGCGUCGUGAUCUUGAAGAGUCCACCCUGCAGCAUGAGGCCACAGCCGCCGCUCUGCGCAAGAAGCAGGCCGACAGUGUGGCUGAGCUCGGGGAGCAGAUCGACAACCUGCAGCGCGUCAAGCAGAAGCUGGAGAAGGAGAAGAGCGAGUACAAGAUGGAGAUUGAUGACCUGUCCAGCAACAUGGAGGCCGUCGCCAAGGCUAAGGGCAAUCUGGAGAAGAUGUGCCGUACUCUUGAGGACCAGCUGAGUGAGCUGAAGACUAAGAAUGAUGAGAAUGUUCGCCAGGUCAACGACAUCAGCGGACAGAGGGCCAGACUCCUGACAGAAAAUGGUGAGUUUGGCCGCCAGCUGGAGGAGAAGGAAGCCCUGGUGUCUCAGCUGACCAGAGGAAAACAGGCCUUCACCCAGCAGGUGGAGGAGCUGAAGAGGGCGAUUGAGGAGGAGGUCAAGGCUAAAAACGCACUGGCCCACGGUGUUCAGUCUGCCCGCCAUGACUGUGACCUCCUGAGGGAGCAGUUUGAGGAGGAGCAGGAGGCCAAGGCAGAGCUGCAACGCGGCAUGUCCAAGGCCAACAGUGAGGUGGCUCAGUGGAGGACUAAGUAUGAAACUGAUGCUAUCCAGCGCACAGAGGAGCUGGAGGAGGCCAAGAAGAAGCUGGCCCAGCGUCUGCAGGAUGCUGAGGAGACCAUUGAGGCGACCAACUCCAAGUGCGCCUCCCUGGAGAAGACCAAGCAGAGGCUGCAGGGAGAGGUGGAGGACCUCAUGAUUGAUGUUGAGAGAGCCAACGCAUUGGCCGCCAACCUCGACAAGAAGCAGAGGAACUUUGACAAGGUUCUGGCAGAGUGGAAGCAGAAGUAUGAGGAGGGCCAGGCUGAGCUGGAAGGAGCUCAGAAGGAGGCUCGCUCUAUGAGCACUGAACUCUUCAAGAUGAAGAACUCCUAUGAGGAGGCUCUGGAUCAUCUGGAGACUCUGAAGAGAGAGAACAAGAACCUGCAACAGGAGAUCUCUGACCUGACUGAGCAGAUCGGAGAGACUGGCAAGAGCAUCCAUGAGCUGGAGAAGGCCAAGAAGACUGUGGAGACAGAGAAGUCUGAGAUCCAGACCGCUCUGGAGGAGGCUGAGGGAACACUGGAGCACGAGGAAUCCAAGAUUCUGCGUGUGCAGCUGGAGCUGAACCAGAUCAAGGGUGAGGUGGACAGGAAGAUCGCUGAGAAGGAUGAGGAGAUGGAGCAGAUCAAGAGGAACAGCCAGAGGGUGGUUGACUCCAUGCAGAGCACCCUGGACUCUGAGGUCAGGAGCAGGAAUGAUGCCCUGAGGGUGAAGAAGAAGAUGGAGGGAGACCUGAACGAGAUGGAGAUCCAGCUGAGCCACUCCAACAGGCAGGCCUCUGAGGCCCAGAAACAGCUGAGGAACGUCCAGGGACAGCUCAAGGAUGCCCAAUUGCACCUUGAUGACGCCGUCCGUGUUGCAGAGGACAUGAAGGAGCAGGCAGCCAUGGUGGAGCGCAGAAACGGUCUGAUGGUGGCUGAAAUCGAGGAGCUGAGAGUUGCUCUGGAGCAGACAGAGAGAGGCCGCAAAGUGGCUGAGACUGAGCUGGUAGACGCCAGCGAGCGUGUUGGACUGCUGCACUCCCAGAACACCAGCCUUCUGAACACCAAGAAGAAGCUGGAGACUGACCUGGUGCAGGUGCAGGGAGAGGUGGACGACAUCGUCCAGGAGGCCAGGAAUGCAGAGGAGAAGGCCAAGAAGGCCAUCACUGAUGCGGCCAUGAUGGCUGAGGAGCUGAAGAAGGAGCAGGACACCAGUUCUCACCUGGAGAGGAUGAAGAAGAACCUGGAGGUCACAGUCAAGGACCUGCAGCACCGCCUGGAUGAGGCUGAGAAUCUGGCCAUGAAGGGAGGCAAGAAGCAGCUCCAGAAACUGGAGUCCAGGGUGCGUGAGCUCGAGACUGAGGUGGAGGCAGAGCAGAGAAGAGGUGUAGACGCAGUCAAGGGAGUCCGGAAGUAUGAGCGCAGAGUCAAGGAGCUCACUUACCAGACUGAGGAGGAUAAGAAGAACGUUGGCAGACUUCAGGACCUGGUAGAUAAGCUGCAGAUGAAAGUGAAGGCCUACAAGAGGCAUUCUGAGGAAGAACUGAGUCACUGACAAAACUUCAUGUCCAUACAACUUAGUUUGAAGUGUUGCUACAGCAACAACACAUCAGUCAACAAUGACAAUUGACAGUGCCAGUAAAUGCUGAUGAAAUUAUGCAAAUUUCUAAAUGCCUCCUAUUCUUUACCAACUUAAAGGAGAUGGGGUUGAAUAUGAAUUAGCUGCACCAGGGGCUGGUCUAGUGAUCCUUCUGGAGGCAGUGGUUUGAUCCCCUGUUCUGCCACUCACUUCCUCUGCUGUAUCAUCCAGCUCCCUGUAUACAUUGUUAUCCUAAAAACAGAAUAUUAAUUUGCUUCCUGGUUUCAAACUUUAAAUGCUGAUGUUCUGCUCUCCCUCUCUUUUCCUCACCCAGGAGGAAGCAGCAAACCAGCACAUGUCUAAGUUCAGGAAGGUUCAGCAUGAGCUGGAGGAGGCUGAGGAGCGUGCUGACAUCGCUGAGACUCAGGUCAACAAGCUCAGAGCCAAGACCCGUGACUCUGGAAAGGGAAAAGAAGUUGCUGAAUAAACAAGACCAAAGUAUUGAAGAUCAAAGUCUUACCAUUUUCCUGUGAUGCAUAAAAUAUGAUUUUCAUGGUGAAAUGUUGAGCAUUGAUUAAAAACAUGUGGAUCUACAUACA